GCAUAUGCAGUGAUUUCCUUAAGCAGCUGACAUCAGCAAAGUAAACAGCCAACACAUUAAAUCUAGUCAGUGAAAUUUCUGCCUUUCUGGGUUACUGGACUGAAGCUGAUUAAUAAGAUAGCCCUGCGAGCCCUUGUUCACUUCAUCAGCAGGCUGGAUAAAGUAAUCAGGCAGCCAACACCAAAUUAAGCAUGUCCAAGACUGUUUUGGAUUUGGGUGGCCAGAUUUUGGUAGCACAUGAGCUACAGGGAUGGCUUCUGUGAGAAGCUGCUGAAGCUUCCUCCAUGUCCAACAGAGCCAAAACUGAUUCCAAGACAGAUGUGCUGCUGGACAAGGUUGGGCUGAUUAGAAAUGGUGAUAAGGCCACUGUGUUAAAAUAUUUAGGAAGAAGAGAAGAAAAAAAGAAGCGAUUGCAUGGUUGUAAUUGUGUCCAGAGAAGAACAGAGUGAGAAUAUGUGAGAGGAACACCUCUGCAGACACCAAGGUCAGUGCAGAAGGAGGGUGAGGAGGUGCUCCAGGCACCUGAGCUGGGAUUCCUCUGCAGUCUGUGGUGAAGACCAUGGUGAAGCAGCUGUGCCCUUGCAGCUCCUGAAGGAUGGUGGAGAUACAGAGAUGCACCUGCAGCUCAUGGCAGAGACUCAUGCCAGAGUAGUGGGUGCCUGAGAGGAGGCUGUGAACCCAUGGGGGGCCUGUGCUGGAACAGGCUUCUAGCAGGGACCUGCAGACCCAUAGAGAAGGGAGCCCAUGCUGGAGCAGGUUUCCUAAUAGCCCAGCCUGUCCUUGGAGGACUGCACUACAUGGAAGAGUGAACCAUGUUGCAGCAGUUCAUGGAAUUCUCACAUGCCUGUGAGAUGGACUCAGGUUGGAGAAGUUAAUGGAGAAAUGUUUCCCAUGGGAGGAGCCCCAUGGUGGAGGAGAGAAGGACUCCUUUCCUUGAGCAGCAGCAGAAGCAACAUGUGAUGAACUGACCAUAACCCCUAUUUCCUGUCUCCUUGUGCCACUGGGUGGGUAGGUAGAGCUGGGAAGGAAGGAGAGGUGUGGAGAAGGUGUUUUUAAGGUCUUAUUUUACUUCUCAUUAUCCUGCUCUGAUUUUGUUAGUAAUAAAUUCAAUUAAUAUCCCAAAUUCUAGGCUAAUUUGCCCAUGACAGUAUUUGGUGAGUGAUCUCUCCCUGCCCUUAUCUCUACCCAUGAGCCCUACAUUAUAUUUUUUCUCUUCCCUGUCAAUUACAGCUCUGAGCUGAAACUAUCUUUUAGAUUUCUCAUCAAAUGUCAUCAAGACAAGAUAUUUUCCUUUCCUUAUAGGACAUGUUCUCUAGACAGAGGUAUCAGCUGAGAUAGACUCUUCCACAAGGUCUCCUUAGAGAUGAAAGACAGGAACUAGUUGAACAGAACAAGGAGGGAGUAAGAAAAUGUGCUGUUCAGUUCAUCUCAUCUCCUUAUACUGCAGAGUAGGUAAGUGUUUGUGGCUUGAAGUGCUGAGAGAUCCCAAAUGAGUCCUUUAUCCACGUACACUUUGAGUUUCAACGUUGUAUGUGUUACAGAAAAAUGCAGUGAACUGUGAUUUGAAAACCUUUGGGCUUGUCAGUAAGAAAAUGCAACUGGUCUGUUUCCCAUUUAGAAUUGUGCUUCUACAGUUCCUCAUUGCUCAUUAAGAAUCCAGAAUUGUUUCAGUCCAGAGUCUUAUGCAGCAACUGUUGCUCAUCUCACUUUAUGGAGAACAGAUCUGCUUAGGCAAGCACAGCUUUGUUUUUUGAGAAGAUAGGCUGAUAAGAGGAACUGUGUUGACAUCUACCUGCACUUCUCAAAAGCAUUUCACUUCAUACCACAUGACAUUCCAAUUAAAAAAUUAGAACUAUGCAAAAUUAAUGUAGCACAUAAUAAAUAGAUUAUAAUUGUCUGAUGGAUCUCAAGAAAGGAAUUGUAAAUUAGGAAUCAUCAUCCACAGAGGGUAUUUCCAGCAGGGUUCCAUGGGAAUUAGUCUAAUACAAUUCAGAGGUUUUAUUAAUGGUUUAGAAGUGAGGAAAUUGGUGCCUGUAAAAUUGGCAGAGGAUGCAGCAUUAGUCGGAGUAAACAGUGGCAAAGUUGGAUCAGUUUGACAGAUCAAUCUAGUUAAU
Molecule: long non-coding RNA, 2114 nt
Organism: Poecile atricapillus (Black-capped chickadee)
Lineage: Eukaryota; Metazoa; Chordata; Aves; Passeriformes; Paridae
Exons: 4
Source: RefSeq, a predicted model, not a curated record